Molecule: ribosomal RNA, 479 nt
Filed under: uncultured bacterium
Lineage: Bacteria
Description: partial 16S ribosomal RNA
Rfam family: Bacterial small subunit ribosomal RNA
Source: RNAcentral
GAUGAACGCUAGCGGGAGGCCUAACACAUGCAAGCCGAGCGGUAGAGUUUCUUCGGAAACUUGAGAGCGGCGCACGGGUGCGUAACACGUGUGCAACCUACCUUUAUCUGGGGGAUAGCCUUUCGAAAGGAAGAUUAAUACCCCAUAAUAUAAUGAUUGGCAUCAAUUAUUAUUGAAAACUCCGGUGGAUAGAGAUGGGCACGCGCAAGAUUAGAUAGUUGGUGAGGUAACGGCUCACCAAGUCAAUGAUCUUUAGGGGUCCUGAGAGGCAGAUCCCCCAGACUGGUACUGAGACCCAGACCAGACUCCUACGGGGGGCAGCAGUAAGGAAUAUUGGACAAUGAGGGAGAGCCUGAUCCAGCCAUCCCGCGUGAAAGAUGACGGUCCUAGGGAUUGUAAACUUCUUUUGUACAGAGAUAAACCUACCCUCGUGAGGGUAGCUGAAGGUACUGUACGAAUAAGCACCGGCUAACUCCGUG